GGUUCUCUCUAUGCAGCUCAGGCUGGCCUUGAGCUCACUUUGUAGCCCAGGCUGGUCUCGAACUCGCAACAAUCCUCCUGCCUCAGCCUCCCGAGUGCUGGGAUUACAGGCGUGAGCCACCAUGCCCG
Cavia aperea (Brazilian guinea pig) is the source of this 128-nucleotide microRNA precursor. The record is from Ensembl. NCBI's taxonomy places the organism in Eukaryota, Metazoa, Chordata, Mammalia, Rodentia, Caviidae.